RNAcentral lists this transfer RNA (70 nucleotides) under Dipodomys ordii (Ord's kangaroo rat). It matches the Rfam family "tRNA". Rfam says of the family: Transfer RNA (tRNA) molecules are approximately 80 nucleotides in length. Their secondary structure includes four short double-helical elements and three loops (D, anti-codon, and T loops). The record is from Rfam by way of RNAcentral. Lineage: Eukaryota; Metazoa; Chordata; Mammalia; Rodentia; Heteromyidae.
GGGAAUGUGGCUUAGUGGUAGAGUACUUGCCUAGCAUGCAUGAAGCCAUGGGUUCAAUUCCUCAGUACCA